RNAcentral lists this ribosomal RNA (3087 nucleotides) under Saccharomyces cerevisiae (brewer's yeast). It matches the Rfam family "Bacterial large subunit ribosomal RNA". Lineage: Eukaryota; Fungi; Ascomycota; Saccharomycetes; Saccharomycetales; Saccharomycetaceae. The record is from RNAcentral.
AUAAUCAUGGAGUAUAAUAAUUAAAUUUAAUAAAUUUAAUAUAACUAUUAAUAGAAUUAGGUUACUAAUAAAUUAAUAACAAUUAAUUUUAAAACCUAAAGGUAAACCUUUAUAUUAAUAAUGUUUUUUUUUAUUAUUUUUAUAAUAAGAAUAAUUAUUAAUAAUAAUAAACUAAGUGAACUGAAACAUCUAAGUAACUUAAGGAUAAGAAAUCAACAGAGAUAUUAUGAGUAUUGGUGAGAGAAAAUAAUAAAGGUCUAAUAAGUAUUAUGUGAAAAAAAUGUAAGAAAAUAGGAUAACAAAUUCUAAGACUAAAUACUAUUAAUAAGUAUAGUAAGUACCGUAAGGGAAAGUAUGAAAAUGAUUAUUUUAUAAGCAAUCAUGAAUAUAUUAUAUUAUAUUAAUGAUGUACCUUUUGUAUAAUGGGUCAGCAAGUAAUUAAUAUUAGUAAAACAAUAAGUUAUAAAUAAAUAGAAUAAUAUAUAUAUAUAUAAAAAUAUAUUAAAAUAUUUAAUUAAUAUUAAUUGACCCGAAAGCAAACGAUCUAACUAUGAUAAGAUGGAUAAACGAUCGAACAGGUUGAUGUUGCAAUAUCAUCUGAUUAAUUGUGGUUAGUAGUGAAAGACAAAUCUGGUUUGCAGAUAGCUGGUUUUCUAUGAAAUAUAUGUAAGUAUAGCCUUUAUAAAUAAUAAUUAUUAUAUAAUAUUAUAUUAAUAUUAUAUAAAGAAUGGUACAGCAAUUAAUAUAUAUUAGGGAACUAUUAAAGUUUUAUUAAUAAUAUUAAAUCUCGAAAUAUUUAAUUAUAUAUAAUAAAGAGUCAGAUUAUGUGCGAUAAGGUAAAUAAUCUAAAGGGAAACAGCCCAGAUUAAGAUAUAAAGUUCCUAAUAAAUAAUAAGUGAAAUAAAUAUUAAAAUAUUAUAAUAUAAUCAGUUAAUGGGUUUGACAAUAACCAUUUUUUAAUGAACAUGUAACAAUGCACUGAUUUAUAAUAAAUAAAAAAAAAUAAUAUUUAAAAUCAAAUAUAUAUAUAUUUGUUAAUAGAUAAUAUACGGAUCUUAAUAAUAAGAAUUAUUUAAUUCCUAAUAUGGAAUAUUAUAUUUUUAUAAUAAAAAUAUAAAUACUGAAUAUCUAAAUAUUAUUAUUACUUUUUUUAAUAAUAAUAAUAUGGUAAUAGAACAUUUAAUGAUAAUAUAUAUUAGUUAUUAAUUAAUAUAUGUAUUAAUUAAAUAGAGAAUGCUGACAUGAGUAACGAAAAAAAGGUAUAAACCUUUUCACCUAAAACAUAAGGUUUAACUAUAAAAGUACGGCCCCUAAUUAAAUUAAUAAGAAUAUAAAUAUAUUUAAGAUGGGAUAAUCUAUAUUAAUAAAAAUUUUAUCUUAAAAUAUAUAUAUUAUUAAUAAUUAUAUUAAUAAUAUAUAUAAUUAUAUUAUAUAUUAUAUAUUUUUUUUUAUAUAAUAUAAACUAAUAAAGAUCAGGAAAUAAUUAAUGUAUACCGUAAUGUAGACCGACUCAGGUAUGUAAGUAGAGAAUAUGAAGGUGAAUUAGAUAAUUAAAGGGAAGGAACUCGGCAAAGAUAGCUCAUAAGUUAGUCAAUAAAGAGUAAUAAGAACAAAGUUGUACAACUGUUUACUAAAAACACCGCACUUUGCAGAAACGAUAAGUUUAAGUAUAAGGUGUGAACUCUGCUCCAUGCUUAAUAUAUAAAUAAAAUUAUUUAACGAUAAUUUUAUUAAAUUUAGGUAAAUAGCAGCCUUAUUAUGAGGGUUAUAAUGUAGCGAAAUUCCUUGGCCUAUAAUUGAGGUCCCGCAUGAAUGACGUAAUGAUACAACAACUGUCUCCCCUUUAAGCUAAGUGAAAUUGAAAUCGUAGUGAAGAUGCUAUGUACCUUCAGCAAGACGGAAAGACCCUAUGCAGCUUUACUGUAAUUAGAUAGAUCGAAUUAUUGUUUAUUAUAUUCAGCAUAUUAAGUAAUCCUAUUAUUAGGUAAUCGUUUAGAUAUUAAUGAGAUACUUAUUAUAAUAUAAUGAUAAUUCUAAUCUUAUAAAUAAUUAUUAUUAUUAUUAUUAAUAAUAAUAAUAUGCUUUCAAGCAUAGUGAUAAAACAUAUUUAUAUGAUAAUCACUUUACUUAAUAGAUAUAAUUCUUAAGUAAUAUAUAAUAUAUAUUUUAUAUAUAUUAUAUAUAAUAUAAGAGACAAUCUCUAAUUGGUAGUUUUGAUGGGGCGUCAUUAUCAGCAAAAGUAUCUGAAUAAGUCCAUAAAUAAAUAUAUAAAAUUAUUGAAUAAAAAAAAAUAAUAUAUAUUAUAUAUAUUAAUUAUAAAUUGAAAUAUGUUUAUAUAAAUUUAUAUUUAUUGAAUAUAUUUUAGUAAUAGAUAAAAAUAUGUACAGUAAAAUUGUAAGGAAAACAAUAAUAACUUUCCUCAAAAAAUAAUUAUGGAAAGAAUUAAAUUAAUAUAAUGGUAUAACUGUGCGAUAAUUGUAACACAAACGAGUGAAACAAGUACGUAAGUAUGGCAUAAUGAACAAAUAACACUGAUUGUAAAGGUUAUUGAUAACGAAUAAAAGUUACGCUAGGGAUAACAGGGUAAUAUAACGAAAGAGUAGAUAUUGUAAGUUAUGUUUGCCACCUCGAUGUCGACUCAACAUUUCCUCUUGGUUGUAAAAGCUAAGAAGGGUUUGACUGUUCGUCAAUUAAAAUGUUACGUGAGUUGGGUUAAAUACGAUGUGAAUCAGUAUGGUUCCUAUCUGCUGAAGGAAAUAUUAUCAAAUUAAAUCUCAUUAUUAGUACGCAAGGACCAUAAUGAAUCAACCCAUGGUGUAUCUAUUGAUAAUAAUAUAAUAUAUUUAAUAAAAAUAAUACUUUAUUAAUAUAUUAUCUAUAUUAGUUUAUAUUUUAAUUAUAUAUUAUCAUAGUAGAUAAGCUAAGUUGAUAAUAAAUAAAUAUUGAAUACAUAUUAAAUAUGAAGUUGUUUUAAUAAGAUAAUUAAUCUGAUAAUUUUAUACUAAAAUUAAUAAUUAUAGGUUUUAUAUAUUAUUUAUAAAUAAAUAUAUUAUAAUAAUAAUAAUAAUUAUUAUUAAUAAAAAAUAU